Molecule: long non-coding RNA, 1235 nt
Filed under: Marmota marmota marmota (Alpine marmot)
Lineage: Eukaryota; Metazoa; Chordata; Mammalia; Rodentia; Sciuridae
Description: lncRNA (ENSMMMG00000021027.1)
Source: RNAcentral
UCUUGAGUGUAAGCAGUAUAUAUUUUAAAAAAUAAUGUUCUUAAUAUUAUGAUGACAUCUCUCCAAAUACAAAAUUCAUUUCAGCACUCCUGGCCCAGCAACUAUUAAAUUUCCAGUGUGGAACACUUUCAAGUUAGUAACUUCCUGAUCUAGAAAAAUCACAUGGAUAGAAAAUAUGCAGAAGCUGGGAGCCUACCUUCUGUUCCAGUUUUCAAAAAGUGGGAAAAAGUAGAGGCUGCAAAUACAUCCACAAUCUUGGCAAGACUCUAGAGCACGCUGUUGACAACAUACAAGCUCCAAAAAUUAUUGGUGGCUGUCCAUGGAUUCAACUUGAAAUCAAGGGAAAAAAAAAAAAAAAAAGCAACAGGGCGAUUUUGGAACUUGUAAAUCCAGUAUUUGAAGGAACAUGUUUAAGGAACAGGUGGCACCUGAUAAUGGCAAUACUGUGUAUAGUGUUGUUACAUAGGAGGUCAGCAAUCCAGACUGUAAGGUUCAAGCACAGCAUCUGUCCUGCAACCUUGGGCAUAACUCUCGUUCUGGUGACGGUAUUUGGAGUCCUGAUCUGUGGGUAUUCAGUCACUACUUGUAAAGAGCUCAGCACAACAAGGAAGAUCCUGCCUAAUGCAGAGAUGCAGCGAGAAAAAAAACAACGAUAAGCAAAACAACUUUCCUCCGGUAUUGCUACAGAGUUCUCAGCACAGGAAUAGGUAAAUACAGAACUCGCCAAGACAGACUGCAUUCAGAAAGCCGAGCUGCACAAGGGGUUAGAAGCCAGGUCAGGCGAGCCGUUGCCAGGCAAAGUUAGGACGGAAGAACAGCGACAGAGUUACACAGCAGAAGCUCCGCCCCCACUUCCGUGCACUCCGCCGCAUCCCUUUCCCGCCCAAGUCCCGCCCACCAGGCAGUCAGAGCGUCAACGCUCGCGACAGGGUCCGCGACGCAUGCGUUUUUGGUCUCGAUCGGCUUGGCGUGACGCUCGCUCCUACUCUCGGCCAAAGUCUCUGCCCUGCCCCCUCUUGUACGACCGCUACCCUGAGCCCCAGCUUCGUUCUCACCCAGAUCUGGCUCUGCCCAAACCUCGACUUCAAUCCUGUGAACAGUGACUGUAGAACAACCUCCAGCACUGCAGACCCACGUCCCGCGCUCCCGUAGUGGCGGUGGUGAUGGGCGGGGGUGGGGUGGGAUAGAAUAGGCGGGACGUGGGAAGGCAGCGGUUGCCUUGGGCCCACUUCCGG